RNAcentral lists this long non-coding RNA (34626 nucleotides) under Phaseolus vulgaris (common bean). Its description in RNAcentral is "long non-coding RNA (PVUL_LNC001916)". Lineage: Eukaryota; Viridiplantae; Streptophyta; Magnoliopsida; Fabales; Fabaceae. The record is from RNAcentral.
CCAUUGCAGCUGUCUCUUUGGUAUGUUCAGGCUGGUUGUCCAAUGGAGACAAGGGAGGGUACGAUGGUGAUGGUGAUGGUGUCACUGGUCCUGGAGAUGGUGAUACUGGCACCGGUGAUGGCACCGGUGACACUGGCACCGGUGAUGGCACAGGUGUCACUGGCACUGGUGAUGGUGUCACUGGCACAGGUGCCACUGGCACCGGUGAUGGUGUUACUGGCACCGGUGAUGGUGUCACUGGCACCGGCACGGGUGAUGGUGACACUGGUGUUGGUGCUGGUGAUACUGGCACCGGUGAUGGUGAUGGUGAUACUGGUACUGGUGUUGGUGAUACUGGCACUGGUGUUGGUGGCACUAUAACCGGUGUUGGAGGCCCUUGAACCGGUGUUGGUGGCAUUGGAACCAGAAACGGUGGUGUUGGUGGCAGUGGUACUAGAAAUGGUGGCACUGGCACUGAUUGCUCAAAGGCACAUACUCCAAAUACGCAUAACCUUCCAAAAGGGCACACUCUUCCACACCCCCCACAGUUGAAAAUGUUCCUAUUUGUGUUUACGCAGAGACGGUUGCAGCAUUGACGAUUGAACAGGCACCUAAACCCACAUAUCCCACAGUUAUCGUUGUCUGCAGUCACAUCCACACAACGGUCUCCACAACACAUAAACCUUGUUGGAAACUCUCCUCUGCUACAUACGAAUGGUCUUCCUGCACAUCCAGUGAUUUGGUUAACAUCUUUCUCCAUCAAUGAUGUUGAGUUGGUGUCAUUUUCAUGCACUUCUUUCCCUGUUGAAUCUCCCUCUAUUUUCAUCACCAACAGCACCAACACCAACAUCACAAGAGCUGAACAUUUUGCGUGCAGACUCAUCUUGAGGAAGUGGUUGUUUAUGCCUUGAAGGGUAGGAUUGUGGAACCAAUUUAUACAGGUUUAUCAAGUUAACUUGCUUUUCUAACAAGCCAAAAGAGCGUGUUUUUCAUGCAUGGUUAUGGACGGUGGACCUUAUCUGCACUCGCUUUUAUUGUUAUUAGAAGGGAAGUUUUGUCAGCUAGCUCUGUGCUUUUUGAAUAUGAGUUGGGUGGCUUAACGCUUUUACGUUCAUCCAUCCUCAAAAUAAGUCACUUCACUACCGUUUCUCAUUUAUUUUCGAGGCUAUCUUAAUGAGAGUUUGUAAAGUUUAUUAGACCACUCGCUAUCGAACCGGACCAUUUAUAACAUAUUGUCCCACGCACGAGUUGUCACUCUUGGUGUGAGAAAGGUUGUGUUGGAUAUCUCACAUUCACUAUAGAUUAAAGCAUAGAUUAAAGCAUUUCAUAGUUUAUAAAUGAAUACAGAUCUCACCUCAUAAGCCGGUUUUAUGAAGUUGAGUUAAGAUUAAAAUUGAUUUCAUAAUAGAUAUACUUGCAACAACUUGCUAAUCAUGCUCAAUCUAUAACCAUCAACGGUUACGUUCAAGCAACGCGUCACAUGAAAAUGGAAACGCCUUCUAAAAGCACGGUGACAACCCCACGAAAUUCUGUAUCAGGUUAUGGUUUUUGAGCAUCAAGUCAUCACCUUAAUUAAUGAUCAUAAUUAAUGUUAUCAGUGUAAGAAAAUUAGAUCUAAAGAAAGAAACGCGCUUUUACUUUUUUUACUUUAAGCAGAAUUUGAGGACGUUUAAUAAAAGAUAUAACUGCACAAAAUUGCCCAGUUCCCCAUGGAACCACUCGUCUCAUAACCAACGUUAUGAUCUGAUAUUCAGACAAAGGGACCACAAUGUGGAUGCGUACCACAGCAUCAUAACCAAUUUAAUGUUAGGAAUCACAAUUCUAGUAAGAUUUGAUGAAGUGAGCAAUUCUCACAUUCCUCUUAGGAAAAAAAUGUCACAAUAAGCAAAUGGAGAGUAGUAUAAGAGAUUUUUUCUAAUUUUACAUUCUUUUAGAAUCUUUUUGAUGCACCAAAUAAGUGUAUUUUGCACAUAUUCAAAGAUAUGCUGUGUGAGAGUACUGCUGCUGAACACUACCAAAUGGAUAAGAAAUCAUUUAUUGUCCCAUUAUAGUUCAUUAAUUACUAAGUGCGUUUGGGUGGGCACGUUUCCCUUUCUGAGAUGAGUCUGUGCCUUUGUCCUAAAACUUACAAAACUUGAAAUGAAUUACUAGAAAAUCAAGGCACUAAAUUUGACAUAACCAUCAAACGCGUCUCAGUUUUAGGACAUCUUAGCAGAGCAACAACGUAUAAUGUUUGCAGCAUCAUACAAUCAAUUUGAAGACCAACUCGUCAAAAAAUCUGCUUUUAGUCUAUCUGGUUUCUUGUGACAUUUGUACGACAUGUAUCGGCAGUGAAGUAUUCAAUUCAAUACAUAUUGUUUGGGUCUAUCACAAUUCUAAUACGGUUCUAACACAUUUCCAACACAAUUUUAAAAAGGACAAAGACACUGAAAUACUAAAAAUUCAAUCUUAUUGUAUAAGUUUUUACUAUAAUUAUAGAAAUAAAAAAAAAAAUUCAGUCAUACUUUGAUAGAACAACAACUUUCUAUACUAUGACUAAUAAAACUAGGAUUUACCAAAUUCUUUUUUUUUUCAUUCGUGAUGAUUUCAGACCUAAAAUAGGAACUGAAUGGGCUAACUUUGGACCUUUAACAUAGUUUAAAAGUGGACUUUCAUAGUAUAGGUAACUGUUGUCCUAAACCCUAAACUCUAAAUCCUAAACCUUAUCAUACUUAUUCACAUAAAUUUAUAUUAUCAAUUCAUGUAAUUCACCAUGUAUAGAUACGUAUCGUGUGUCAUAUUUUUUAGAUUACACGUGUUAAAGAGUUCAGGUUCGUAACAUAUCAACUAUUCGCGUUUGUGCUACAUAGAUUAAUAUACAAAAAUAACAUUCAUUAGACACUGAAGCCCGAAAAAGGGCAAGUGAAAAUUUCAUCAUGGAGAAACACAUGCUGCAGUUUGAUUUAGCCUUGAACAAACAAACAGAUACCUGAAUUUAUUAUUUCUUCAAGCAUGAAAGACACAACAGACAGUCAAGUCAAGCACAAUCACCAACACUACUCAGGUGAGCAGUUAUUUCAUCGAUUUCCACAUGAAUACAUAAAACACACGACCUUAAGGCUCAAGCACAACACAAUACUACAACUUAAAAGUGAUAUAAAUCAGCAAAUUAUUCUUAGAAUGCUGCACAAAUCCUGAAUUUUUGUUCAUAGUGGUAGCUAGAGACUUGUUUACUGAAGAACAACACAUUCUUGUGAACCAGCAACCACCACCACAGUAGAGUGUGCACUUGAGCUCACUGCAUCCUCUUCCUUGUCACGCUGAACAUUAUCACCACAGUCAAUGGCUUCAAAAAUAAGGUCGUUGACUUCUUGAAACCUCUCUUCAGAGAGAGACACCUCUGCAAGAAGCCUCCAAGCAUUGCCUUCAGAUGCCUCGUCAUAAUCCUUCUUCCUCUUUAAAACCAUGUGCCCACUAAUUUCCCACACUGCAGGGUUCACUUGGGUGUCAAGAAGCUCAGCAUCCACUUCUCCAAGAGCUUGUUUCUCUGCAUAACACUGUUCAUAUAUUUGGUAAGAUAAGUGAUAUAUUAACAACUUGCAUCAGUUGUAUAGUGAAACAAGUUGUGAAUGUAUAAUUAUUGAUUUGGUAAAGAGAAGUAAUAUAUUGACAACUUGCAUCAAUCUACAACUCCAUUUGCCUAAAAUAGAUUAGGAAAAUUCAUUUAGUUUACCUGUGGUAACAGAAACACUUGCUUUCCACAGUCAGAAAUAAGAACAUUGAAUGGUAUAUUAUUGUUUUGAAGACAUAUGCAAGCGUCUGAAACAACAUUUGAUAAAUCUUCCACAGUAUCUCCACCCUCAAAGACAAGACCUCUAACUGGAUACUUCAACAGUUCAGAUAUCUUCACCCCGCCAUUUAAAUUUGCAAUUUUCUUAGUGGGGGCCUUCUCAAUGGGAAAGGGCAGAGCCAAAUAGUAAGCCUGCAUAUAUCCAUGUCAAAAAGUCAUGAAAUUUCAAUCUGAUUACUGAAAGAGUAGUCUUGAACAACAACACAUCUACAUAAACCUACAAGUGGUAAUUGAGUAUCAGUACCUGGAAGUGAAGAUGGUUAAUAGUUGCAAAAGCACCCAAGCUGUUGUAACCCAAUCGAAAAUAAGGAUUAUCAGCUUCCACUGCCAUGUGAAGUGCAAGCAGGAAGCUCUCACGGUCAAUCCUUUGGGGCAAACACUCAAAUAUGCGUGGAAUCAGCAAAACAUGCCCAUACUCAAUAGGACUCACCUGUUAAGAAAAUAAACAAACAAACUAUUAGAUGAUAAAAAGAUCACAUAAUAUUUUACAUUUUCAGUUAUAAUUUACUGUAUAAAACUAAUACAAACAUCAUCACAUGCAAUGCAAUGACUAAUAAUCAACCCAUAAGGAAAAGGUUUGGUAUCCAUACAUUGAUGGCAACAAAACUGGGAGAAUUAUCAACAUCAACUGGAGCAUUUGGGAAGAACUGGAUUUGUCCAUCGUCACUAGCUUCAAAUUGGAAGAGAACCUCUUCUUGCCCAACUUUGGUAAAGUUGAAUUUGCUUUCAUCAAAGGGCUGCAGAACCUUAUCAACUCGGAAUUCAGUUGGUCUCUUCUUGAGGUGACGACCCUCAUUAAGCUGAGCAACGAAACCAUAUUCACCAGGAAUCACCUACACCAAAAUCAUAUGAACUUUAAAUCUAACUAAACCUCAUAAAACUGGUUUAUAUGGUAAAAGAUUUGACUCAACCUCAUAAAACAAACUUAUAAGAUGAUAUUUGACUCAAUUUCAUAAAACAAACUCAACCUCAUAAAACCGACUUAUAAGAUUAAUUGCUUUAAUUUGUAGUCGAUGUAUGAUUUUCAACGACGACAAAACACAUCACACUCAUAAAUCAUACCAACCAUAUCUAUGGAGAGAAAGACAACAUUUAGAAAAAGGAAAACAAAGCCAACCUUGGUUUCGCAGGCAGUCACAUCAUAGCGGAAAAGUCCUUUCUGCAUGCGAUCUUCCCACUGCCAUGAAACGGUAAACAACACUUUACAACAAAGGGUAACAAAAGAAUAUCACGUUAACCGUUCUCCAUCACCAAAAUUCCAUGGUUACCUCUCCAAGAAGAAGCGAGUCCAGGAAUGCCACGGGAGGCUCCCCGCAUUCUUGCAGAGCCAAAUCCUUUUCAUUAACAACCUUCUUAAAAGCAUACAGAGGAAGCUUUGCAUCUGUAAACAAAACAAAAACACAAAGCACAAAAAAUAAAACAAAAAGAAAACACAUGAGAUUCCUGGAUCCAACUCACUUUACAGGAUAAAGUAAGAUAUACAUAAUUUUUUCAUGAGAAAAUCAAUUGUUUUAAGAUUCCAAGAAUAUUCAUACCAAAUCGUGAAUAUAUUAAAAUAUCAACUGUUCGUUUUCUUUUCAACUACCGCUACUAGAUAUAUGUUUGGUUUUUCACGUGGGUUGCUCCCAAGUCAGUUUCGUAACCCGUUUGCUUACCUUAAAAAGAAAGGUUAAGUUUAUAUAGAGAAUUUAUUCUUAACUAAACCUCAUAAAUUAAUUUAUAUAAGGUGAGGUGUGUAGUUAUUUAUAUACUAUUAAAUAUAUUAAUUGUGGAAACAUAUUAUGGGAUCUCAAAAAAUACUAACUUUUUUACUAAUAAAACUCUUUAGAUACAAGAUUUCAACUCAAGUUUGAGUCAAAUCUAAAUUCGUAAGCUUUUAUUUCACAUAUGCAGCAAGUAAUUUAGCCUCAAUCACUUUAAAAUAGGCAAUUGCAUAUAUACAAGCAAACUAAUAACAGUAAUGAAAAUCAGUUGGAGAGAAAGAAGGACCUGGAAGGCAACAAGCUUUGAGGCAAUUCCGACCACAACCUCCGACGGGACGAGAAGUGUCGGCGGCGCCGUCUUUCUGGUAGUUGGAAACGACAGUAGGAACCCUCUUGAUUUUGAGCAUCAUUUUUGUGAAAUCGAAGAAAAAGAAGAAGAGAAAGAAGAAGAAGAAGAAGAAAGAGCGAAAGUGUGUGCGCUGUUAAAGAUGUUGGUUAAGUGAGGAGAGGAAAAGGAGAAAGAAGAAGAAGCUAGCAGAAGGAGGAGGAACCGCCACCGGCGAGGAAGAGGAGGUCGGAGGGACUACCACCUUCGGACGGGAGCGCACCACGCCCACCGUGCGGCGAAGGGUUUGCGAGAAUUAUGCAACCCGUCCGUCGUACAGUUGGGACAUGAAUGAGAAAGCGAAAGACUCUUAGAAUAGCCGUGAUGUCUGCAACGUGUUCUUACCGGGUUUCAACCCAAUCACCUCUUCUUUCUCUUUCUGGUUUCUCUUUGAACUCUUCAACAUGCAAACUUCCCUCGCUUCGUUUGGAUAAGGUAUGUGUGAGUCUGAGUCUGAGACAGAGGAGCAUGUGGGUGUGUUGUUAUAUAGAUAGAUAAGACUUAGAGGUUAAGAACUCAAAGUGUUGUGUUGUGUGUGUGUGUGCGUGCUGAGAGUGAAUGAAAGAAAACAGAGUGUGAGAGAGAAGAGACAAUGAUUGAAAGAGAGAGGGUGGUUUCGUUCUUUUGUUUCUAUUUUGCUUUUCUUUUCACAUUGUUUCCGUAAGCGUAGGACCACUAUAUCAAGAGAAUGCUCCUUCUUCCACGAAUAUUCCGUUACAGAAUCUUUUCUCCCACUUCUAAUCUUAAUAAUCUCAACAAUUCAAAUAUCCUUUCCUAUUUUUUUAACAAAAUAUUCGAUAAGAUAUAUUAUCAUAACAAUAUAAUAUAUAAUAGGUAGUUACUUUUGUUACCCCACCUUAUCAUAAAUUAAUUCUUUCUCGAAUUCUCCAUCUCUCCCUGUUAAUAAAUAUUUUCGGUUACUACGUCAAUUAGUUUGGACUCUUAUAUAUGGAUUUGGACUUGUCUCGACUAUAGGAUAUAAAUCAUCAUUUCAACUAUUGGAUCUAGUUUAGUUUUUGACUUUCAAGUCCAAAAUUACUUUCGAACGUGUACCUACAAAGACUCUGAUGAUACAGUCAAAAUAAAUUUAUUUAAUUAUUAAAUAAAAAACAUUACUUAUCAUUUUGUUUGAUUAUAAGAUAAAAAAAUAAUACUCGUCAGAUAAAUAGAGUCAAGUUGUUGUUGAAGUUUAACUUAACUUUUACUCUUCGCAUCUUAUCGUUAUUAAAUAUAUUUAUAGUAUUUUCAACCUAUGUAUUGAAUUUUAAAACUAUGUUAUCUUAUUUUAUCAUUUAUUUAUAUUAUUUUAUGUCGACCUAAUCCGUACAGUUACCUGAAACAUUUGUCGUUAAUUUAUCACGUGACCAAAUUUUUUAACAACAUUUUAUAUAUACAUUGUGUAAAUAAUUAAUAAGCAUUACACAUUAUUAAAUUAUUUAUAUAAGUUAGUUCUAGAAAGUAACAUAGUGUAUGCAGCUUCCCAACUUAUAUGAAUCCAAAUUCCAGUUGUGUUUUAAUUAUUGCCUCCUUUGACUACCAACACCACUGUUUUUGGUCUUCUUACAUCUCAUGAUUAAAAGUUGGCUUAAAUAUAAUUUUAACUAUUUAACAAAUUAGUUUUUUAAUAUUUUUACAAAGUUUAUCUUUUGUGUUUGUGGUUAUAUUUAUUAACAAAAUUAGAAAAGUACACUAUAUUAAUAAAAUAUUUUGUUAACAGUAUCAGGGUUACAUCAUCAUCAUCGAAUUGACUUAAAUGUUUUAGAUAAAAAAAAUAAUAAAAAGUUAUGAUAUUCUGACAUCAUUACUCCAUCUUAUACCCACAAUACAAAUAAGAUGCAAAAUGUUUAAAAACUAAAAAAAUUAUAAAUUUUUAUAAAUAAUUAAAAUAUUAAUAUUUAUUGGGAUAUUGAAUAAACAUUUUCAAUAACAAAAAUAUAAUGAUAAAAAUGGAAACGUACAUGAAUUAAAUAUAUAUAUAUAUAUAUUUAUAGGAAUAAAGAAAUUUUUAAGCUGUUAAUAUGUUGUAUACUUUAAUUUAAAAUUAAUAUUAAAUAAAAUGGUUUACAAUGUCUUAUAGAAACGUGUUCUAAUAAAAGUUGUAACGUCCAACUAGUACAUUAUACUACUUUUCUUUAUAAUCAUGAAUGUUAUUUAAUAUUAAAUUUAUAUAUUGUAUGCUAUAUUUAAAUCUUGAAUAUUUUUUCACUCAAUAAAAAUGUUACCAUUUUCUUUUUGUUCGUGUAACUUUUUAAUUUAACUAAUAUUUUAAAUUAGUUUUAAUUAUUAUUUUUUAAAUAAUUUAGAAACUAAAAUAUUAAGAACUAAAAUAAUGAUUAGAUAUCAAUUUAAAAAUUAUUUUAUAUUUUUUAUUAAUAAUAAAAACUACUUUAAAUAUUAAUAAUUUUUUUAAUUUUUAAAAUAGUCUCUAAUUUAGUUUUUUUUAUCUUUGAAAUUAAUUAUAAUAUAAUAAAUUUUUUUAGUGAUUUGAUAAAAAUAAAACAAAAUAAAAAAAUUAUAUUUCAGAAAUAUUAAAAACAGGAUAAUAAAUUGUAUAGUGAAAACAGAGAGACGUAUAAAAAAAGCAUAAAAAAAUAAAUACAACAUGAACUUUGGCAAGAAGUAACUAUUUAUGCACAUGAUCCACUCAAAUCAAGAGAGCAUUCAUUCUCCUUGCAGAUGUUAAUAAAAAAAGAGGAAGAGUGGCAAAAAACAUGUCAAAAUAUGAACUCCUUCUCAUACAUUAAAUAUUGAAAACAUGUCAAGAUAUUAAUCAUAAUUAUUUAUUAAAAUAUAUAUCACGUUGGUUUUAAUUUCAAAUUUAAUUUCUAUUAUUGUUAAAUAAUUUUUAAAUUGAUAUCUAAUUCUAACAAAAAAAAAUUAUCAAAUUUAUAAUUUAAAUAAUUGAUAGUUAAAAUCUUGUAAUUAAUUAAAUAUCAAUUUAAGAAUUAGUUAAUAAUAAUAAAAACUAAUUUAAAAACUAAUUUUUUUCAGUCUUUAAAAUAGUUUCUAAUUUAGUCACUAUAACAACUAAUUAUUUUUUGUCUCUAAAAUUGAUUUCUAUUUUAUAAUUUUAUUGUAAAAUAGGUUAUAAUUGGAUUAAAAGUUUAAUUAUUUUUUAUUCAAUGUAUACUAUCCAACAUUCAUCUUUGAAUAUGCAGUGUAGUCUUAACUACAUUUAAAAAAUAAUAACUUAAAAAAUAUCCUUAUGCGAUUACUUUGAAAUAUAAAGUGUGAGAAUAUGAAUAAUCAUCUUAUAUAUAUAUAUAUAUAUAUAUAUAUAUAUAAACUUACAUUAAAAAAAUAUAUGUAAUUUAUUAUUAUAGAUAACAAAGAUGAUGAAUAUUAGGGAGAGUUAUCUUCUAUAUAUUCUUAGUAAUUUGUUUAGAGUUUGACAGAUCAAUAGAUUUAUUUACUUAUCUUAAUUGUCAAAUAUAAAAAUUAUCAGUAGCGAAAAUAAUCUCCUAUAAUUCAUUAUCUUAUGAAAAAAGUAUGACAACUUUUAAUCAAUUUUCUUUAUCUUAUGAUCUUUGAUUUACUAAAGUUUAUUAUAUUUUUUUAUCUCAUAAAAUAUUUACAACUGUUAAAUCUAUUCUUAUUACUUUUUAUUUACACUAUAUAUUUUUGCUAUUAUAAUAUCUUUUAUAUUUUCUUUAUCUUCCAGCACAUUUAUAGCAAUAUAAAAAGGUUUCAUAAGUCAUGUAUUAUUAUAAUAUAUUUUUAAAAAAGUCAGAGGCAAGGUGUCGGAGCCACCCUUACACGUAGCUUUUGUAAAUAAAUUUUUUAAGGUCAACUUUUUUAUUAGUUUGAUUCAAUAUUAGUGAUUAUUUUUAUGAGUAAAAUAUUCAGUAAAUUAAAUAUUCACUAAAAAAUCAUAAAAUAAAAAUUAAUUUUUAGUAAAAAAAAUAAUUAGUUGUUAUAGUAAAUAAAUUAGAAAUUAUUUUAUAGACUAAUUUUUUUUUUUAAAUUUGUUUCUAUUAUUGUUAAAUGGUUUUUAAAUUAGUAUUUUGUAAACACAAAUUUUGUUACAAAAUUUAUAAACUAAAUAAUUGAUAGUUAAAAUCUUGGUUGCUAAUUAGAUAUCAAUUUAGAAAUCACUUAACACUAAUAGAAACUGAUUUAGAAUUUUAGUUUCUAAAAUGAUAUCUAAUUUAGUUACUAUAACAACUAAUUAUUUUUUGUCUCUAAAAUUGAUUUUUAUUUCAUGUUGUUCUUGUAGUGAUUUAUUUGUAAAAAUAUUACUGAGUAAAUUUAUCUGACUCAGUUCAAUGAAAAGUUCUACUAAUUAAUGUAAAAUGUUUAUUAAAUUAAUUAUAAGAUUUAAAAUGAACCCUUUAAACAUUACAUAAACCAAAUUGAAAAGAAGAAGCUGUUCAUAAAUUCCACAUAUAGAGUUGUGUAUAGAGUCUCGAUCAAAACCUUUUUCAACGAAUCCAAAAAGCAUAUGAAAAGUUGAAAAUGAAGAAAAAAAAUGAAGCGUUGUAAUAAAUACACGUAAAUCUUGUGUGAUGCACAAGAAAAAAUAAUUUUGAUAAUGUAGAAAAUGUGAAAUUUUGUGGACGUGAAGUGUUGGUGAGUUGCAUGGUUUUGUCUAUAGUGAAUAGGUAAGCACAUGGAAGAAGGUCUGAAAUUUCUCUAUCUUCACCAGAAAACAGAAAAGUUGAGUCCAUGAAAUUUCGAGGUAAAUGAAUGGCCACCAAAAGUUAAGUUCAUUUCUGACCCCACAACACUCUCCACCCAUCUUCAACCCACGUCUAUGCAUUACUCAAAACCACACACACUUUGCUUUUAAUGAGAACAAAGUUAGAUAAAUACGACAAAUUCUCCUUUUCAUUACUUUGAACUCACACUUAGUAUACAAUUUUAGUUAAGUUUCUCAAAUUCACUUAAUAUACAAUUUUAGUUAAGUUUCUCAAAUUGGAUUCGGUUGAUAAAAAAAUAUCAUCCAUCACGAUUUUGUCCUUAAAAGGCAUCUUGGUGGGUUGAAGAUGAAUGUUGGAGAUCCCACGUCGACUAGAAAUGAAAACAAUUCAUUGUAUAUAAGUGGGUGCAAACCUCAACCUCAUGUGCCAGUUUUAUGGGGUUGAGUUAGGCUUAAAGUCCAUUUUCUUAACAAUGAGAGAGUAUAUAAACACUAUUAUAGGAUAUUAAUAUAUUUUAUGUUGAUUCAUCGCUGACGUGGAUGUUAUACUAUUAUAAUAUAGUCCAUACUAAAAAUUCGUUGUUGCGUGUACCGGUCGAGGUCAGACGAACCACUUCACCCAUUAUAGAAUUAAUGCAUCAAGGUAAAUUAAGGAGGUAUGCGGCAAAUCAGGUCCAUUUAAGUAAUGAUAUACAUUAGAUAGGUCCAUGAACUAGAUAGCUCAUUACAAACACUAUAAAAAAACAUGAUUAUACAAGAAUGAUGUAUGUUUUAUCAAUAUAUUAAUCAUACUCAUACAAAGCAUUUACUUGGUCGUUGGAUAACCUUUUACAGAUACAAGAAAACAUUACUGAGAGGAGAGUAUCAAUUGUCGGUAACAAGAGAGUAUUUUCUAAGCCUUAUACAAUUAAGACAAAAAAGUAUUGAUUAAGACAUAUUCCAAUAAUUUCUUCACUACAAUUAUUCAAAAAAAAAUUAAAAUUUGGAUUAGAAAUAAAAAAUAAUUUUACCCAUUAUAAAUAUUAUUUACUUUAAUAUAUAAGUUACACUUUCACAUGAGAAAUCCAACCUUCACUAUUCAAAUUAUAUUUAACUUUCAUGUAUUCUCAGCGUAAAGAUUUACAAUAAUAUAAUACUAGUAUUUAGAAAUAAUAUAUAUAACACUUAAAACCAUAGAACUUUUAAUAACUACGGUGCUAAAUCUCAGAUAAAUAAAAAUUUAAAAUUAAUAUUUGUCAUGCUAUUUUCUUAAUUUAAAAGUAAUUGUAAAUUAAGACAUUUUCAAAUAACCAUGGUUUUUAAUAUUGGCUAUUUUUGAUUAUUUUUUUUCAAAAUAACACACUUUCACUUUUUUUACUCCAAUACCAUGUACUGUGUCAAAUAAUCAUCCCAAUGACACGGGUUUUGAGUCUUAAUUUUUUAUUUAAAAAUAAAAUGAAUUUUAAAAUUUUAAAAUGAAUAAAAAUUUAAAAUCAUCUAAAAUUCGGCUCUUGAAAUGAACUAUUUUUUUUGAAAAAAAUAUACUCAAUCAAGUUAAAAAUUAAAUUUUAAAUUAUUGUAAUAAAUCAUAUUAUUUUAAUAAUUAUUUGAGACAUUAUGUUAUUUAAUUAAAAAAAUUAUCGUGAAUGUGUUUGUUAUGAUAGUUGUUGAUGUCCUUUUGAUAAGUUUUUGGCGUUAGCAUGGUGUUGUCACUGUCACCAUCGACAUGGUGUUGUGAGAAUCUUUUAUAUUGUGAGAAUCUUUUAUAUUAUCAGAAAACCAUUUUUCCCAUAAUAUCCAUUAUCUAGUGUUGUACCACUAUGAACAUUUUGAACCACACAACCAUACUUUAUUAUCUGUUUCUUCCUGCACCCAACAAAUUUCUCACUGCACUCAAUUAAUUUCAGAAAAAAAAUUGUUUUAUCCUUUUAAAAAUGACUUUCAAAUUAUUUUUUCAAAAUGUUUCUGAAACAUACUUUUUGGAAGUCGUAAAAUAUAUUCUCAGAAAAUAAUUUUUGAAAUAGAAAUUCUGAAAAAAAAAAAUUCCAAAACGUAUUAUAUAAAAGAAUGUGUUUUUUAGACUAUUUUUUCAAAAUAUAUUCUUAAAAGAGCUUUUCAGAAUAACAACGAAUUAAAAGAACAUUUUUGUCAUUAUAUUUAAUUGAUGGAAUGUAAAGAGAAAUUUGACGGGUGCAAGAAAAAAUAGCCUAGUUUAUUUUGUUUUGACCCACCAACCCAUUGUCAAAAGGUCACAUUACGGUUUUAUUGGGCUUGACCCAAAUUUUAGUUCAUAAAAACGACUGUUUCUUCCUGCACCUCCGUAUGUUCUUCUGGCACCCUAUACAAAACAUGAAAAAUACUUUUUAAUCCUUUUUGUGUCAUCUCCUAGAUUAUAUAAUCUAAAAGUAUGGAUUUGAUAGUAGCUACCAGAUUAUGUAAUCUGGACGUGCAUUUAAAAAAAAAAACUUAAGGAUUACAUAAUCCAGAAGUUAGAAAAGAUUUCUGGAUCAUGUAAUUCGGAAGCUAAUCAUGCAUAUGAAAAAAAAGUUCCACAUAAGUUAAUACGAAUGUGAAAAAUGACUUCCGAAUUACGUAAUCUAGAAUAUUGCAAAGAGACAUUUUUAGAAAUACGAAAAUUUAUGGAGGUGGGAAAAUAACAUAUGGAGGUGCAAGAAGAAACUGUCCAUAAAAACGAAUACGAAGAUUUUUGCUAUUUUCAUUUCCUUUACUUGCUAAACUCACUCCCAUUUCCAUCUUUGUUAUGUAAAAUUGAAAUAUAAGUUUAAUAACCAGGUUAAAUAGAAAAAGGAAAAAAAAGUUGAAGGUGAUACAAGAAAGAAGACUCUUAAUUUUUGUUGAAUAUUGAUGAUCAAUCCCUGAAAACAUGAACAAGUCCCCGAAACUCUACUCAUUUUUUUAAGGAGAAAAACAAUAAAAGUAUAUUUAAAUUUUUUGGUGAUGCCAUGAAGAUAAGAUACUUAGUCAGCUACACAACAAAGUAAAGACAAGGAGACAUUGAACACAGUUCACACCACAUUAUGAAAUUGGUCUGCAAUUAUUAGAUAACUAAAUCUAUCUGUUUUUUUUUUUCUUUAAUACUUUUAUUUUCAACCAAUUCGAUCAAAUAUUCUAUUCAUUUUCCAAACAUAUAGCGUGUAGUUGGGCAAACUCAGAAAUAUAAUAACUUAAUCAAAAGUUUUAACUACACCAAUUACUCCAAUUUUGUAUCAUUUAUAAUAUUUUUCUUCAAUUCGAACAAAUUUAUUUCUUAUAAAAUAUAGUUGUAAUUUGUGAUAAUUACGUGGGAGAAAGUGCAUUCAGUUUUUAUUUCGUUUUUCUAGUUUUUCCUUUUCUUCAUUUGUAUUUCUUAUCUCGGUCACUCAUAUCUCUUCUCUCGGUCAUUCAUGUAUUUAAAAUUAUAUUUCGAUCUCUCGGAUGUAAAGUGAUAUCUGCAAGAACAUUCCAAAGAUUAAGUUAAUAUUUGUGUUAAUUAUAAAAAAAAAAUUAAAAACUGAACCAAACAUUUAAUUUAUUUAUAUUAGUUGAUAAUGAACCUAGUCACCUUAUUUUAAUCUUUCUACUUAUUUUUAUUAACUAUUUUUUAUAUUUAAUUAAUUUUAUUUAUUUUUUAUAUGUAUUUUUUAUUAUUAAUAUUUGUAAGCUUUUUCUCAUAAUAUUUUUUUUUAUAAAAAACUUUUAUGUUAGGUAUCAUUAUGCUACUUGACAUCUCAGCUAGACUGACACCUCAAAUAACAACAAUCAUUUAUCAUCACAUGAAAAAAGUAUUAUUAAAAAUAAAAAAAAAAUAUAGAGACUAUACCAAAAUUCAUAUGUUAACAAAAAUACAGAAUCAUUAUAUAUUUUCACAUAAUAUUUUUAUUUGCACUUGUUUUUAUCUUUUUCGACCUAACUUCUCAAUAUGCAUACUUUGGAUAUUGGAUAUAAAAGGUUAAAGAGUAUAAGAAAAAUCAUCAAUUUGAUGAACAAUAGUGUUGUUAAUGACAGACAAAAUAUUGCCAGUUUUUGCUAUUCAUAUAAAUACAACACUUUUAACAAGUGUUCACUCACGAUACCAUUUCUUACAUUUGGUGAAGAAUAUAUUUUAGAAACUAACUUGCUUUUAUAAUAAAUUUUAAAUACUUUAUUUUAAUAUGUCGUUUCUCUAAAUUUUAGAGAGUAACUAUUGUUUAAUUCUAUUUUUUUUUUCAAAUUUUACUAAAAUCAGUUUUUAUAUUUUUAAUAUAAAAAUCAUGUUUUUCUUCUUCUUCUCUUUAUUAACUCCUGUCUGUUGAUUUGACUUCAAUAGUAAAAAAAUUAUCGACUCAGUAUUAUUAUUUUUUGAAUGGUAUGAAUAGACUGAUGUUAUUAUUGAUAUUGCAAAAGUUUUUUUUUCUUCCAUAUAGACUGAUGUUAUUUAUCAGUUAAUAUUAAUUAUUUUUUAUUUAUUUAUGUCAACAAAUUUUUUCAACUUAUAUAAACCACUUGCUUUAUUAACAUCAAUAAAUAUCAGUUUCAGUUAAGUCAUUAAAACUCUUUUUCGAUCAAUACAGAUAAGAGUACAUAUAUUUUUUUUAAUUAACAUUAAUAAUAAUUUUCUCAACUAAUAUUAAUAAAAUCUAUUUAUGGAGUUUAAUAUGUCAUACGAAAACAAAACGAAAUGAUUAUAAUAAAAAUAAAUAAAAAACUAAAAAAAUCCUAAUAUUCUAUUUUUCGAAAGUCAUUAGAAACUUGAUGAAUAAAAUAAAAACUAAUAUAAUAAAACGUAUUUAUAUAACAACUAAGAUUCUUUAUUAAUAUCAUUGAGACAAUUUUUCGUGAAAAAAUUAGUUGUUAUUUAUAUAAAUUAUUUUCUCAACUAUAUGUUUUUAUUUAAAUUUUUAAUAAUUAUUUGGUAAACAUGUACAAAGUUGAAAUAGUAAUUUUUGUACUUAUUAUUUUUUAUUCGAUAGUAGUUAAAUAAUUUAUGUAAAUUCAAAAUCAUUCAAAAUAAAAUUGCAAAGUUAAAUAAUUUAAAUUAAAAAAUCAUAUUUUUUUUAUAUUGUACAUUUUUUUUGUCACGAUAGUUCUAUUUUUUUUUUUUACGAAUUGGUGAGAAUUUUCUCAGAAGUGUGACCCUUACAAUAAAAACAUAUACUUUACAUCUUAAUAAAUUAAUAUAUUUUUUAAAUUUAAAAAUAUUAUUAUAAACAAUGUAAAAUAUAUGUUGUUUAUUCUUGUGUUAAAAAAACUUGUCUGUUUUCUUAGAAUAUUAGCCCACACAAAUAUUUUUGUACUUUUGUUGACUGAAACACUGGCAACAACUAUUAUACACUGAUGCAAGUGACUUUCACUGUUUGUCUUUUUCCUCCUUCAUUUCUCUAUUUACAUCUCCACAAUCCAACACUUUAUUCCUAUUCCAAUUAUUCUCUCCAUCUUUUUCAUCAUUUUUCUUAUUCUUCUUCUUCUAAGUCAUGAAAACAUUCAACAAAUUUGAAAUUCUAGUGCUCUUUGUCCUUGCUCUUCUCCUUGGGAUCACACCCCUGUUACCUUCUUCUCUGAGGCCAACCUACCUUUACUUCAUCUUCAAUCUUCUCAUCAUUGCACUGGGAGCAGAAGCUGGUCUUCUCUCAGUUUUUUCCAAGCCUUUAGAAGACAGAAAGCAGCAUGUUUCUGUCACCCAGAAAGCUGCAAUGCCCCCAGAAGUGCAUGAACAUGAUGAGGAAAGGGAAGAAGCUUUCAACAUGUUAGGAGGUGGAAGUGGUGCCUCAGACCACAGUGAUCAAAGGAAGGUUAAGGUUGUUGAAAUGAUUGGUUCUGAUGCUGGUGUGAGUGAAGUGGAUGAGAUGAAAAAGUGUAGUUCAAUGGCAAAUGUUUGGAUCAUAGGAGGUGGAGAAAGUGAAGAGAGGGAUGAAGAGAUUGAAGCAGGUAAUGGGCAAGAGUUGUUUGCCAAAGCUGAGGCCUUCAUUGGGAACUUCUACAUGCAGUUAAAGAUGCAGAGAGAGGUUUAUCAGGAACCCUUUUAGGAAAAUAUUACUUUUUUUUUUCUUUCCUUUUUAGAAUAACUCAUUUCUUGUAUAAACACGUGCUUCUGAUUUUGUGGUUCUAUUAGUUGGGAGCCAAAGAGAAAUUAUAUACUGCUUCUGUGAUAUUUUUCUCCCACUGGGUUUGUACAGAUUUUAAUCUGCAACCAAGCUAUGUUUAUUAAUUUUGUUCCGUCAAUAUAUUUCUACAUUACUCGAGGUCAAAGACAAUUCAUAAGUCGACAUCAAAGACAAUUUAUAUAUAUUUUUUAAGAGAUGUUUUAAAAUUAAAAUUACGAGGGAUCACAAACUUUCAAAACAAACGAUAUUUAAAUUUGAGAUUGGAACAAUAAUUUCUUAUCUUUUCAACUAAAAGAUCUUGAUUGUAGGUUUGUUUUGAUACUGACAAUAUAAUCUUCGUCUUGCAAUUGCUCAGAGUGAAUAAAAGAUUAUAUCAACGAAAUCGAUUAUAAAUAUCUUUCUAGCUUUAUGGGAAACUUAUUGUAAUGAACCAUUAUUUAUGAUUUGCAUGUUAAAAAAAUAGGCUAGCUUAGUGAUUAAACAAAAAACUGGUCUAUUAAUUAAAUACAUAAGAAAAUUAGUUGUUUGAGCUGUACUUGAGGGUUUCCUGUUUUUCUCAAGUCAUGUGAUGACUGAUGAAGUGACAAAGAUGUGGUUAUCUUGUUAAAAAAAGGUAGUUGAAAAUGUUUUUAUGUAAUUGGAAUAUUUAAUUAAAAACUUUGUGGAAGAAAGUGUGAUAUACUUGAUACCAAAAGAAGUGCCAGGUAAUGUUUGAUAGAGGCAGCUGCAUAUUUAAAGGAAAAAACAGACGAGGAGUGUUCAAUUUGAUUAUACAUCUGUCAUGAUUCUGUACGUACCAUCAUCUAGCCAAGUGUACAGAAAAAACAUAUGACCCCAUGGUAAUCAACAUUCUAAUACAUUUGUUAUUGGAGGUUAGCUUUGGAUGAGGUGUUCUCUAUCUUUUCUUCGAUAUUCUUGUUUGAGAUAUAUUCAUUAUAUUAUAUUUUUUACUCUAAUUUAAUUUUAUUAAAUUGAUUUAUAAAAUAAUGUUUGUACUCACUUAUAUACGUAAUACUAGGUAACCUAAUAAGUCUAACAAAUUUUUGUUAGGAUAGACUAUAAUUGGUUAUGAUAUCAUUCUUUUUCAUCAGCAAAUAAUAAAAUAAUUAAAAGGGAUACUUCAGAGGUAUCCCAACCCGUUUACAGAUAAAGAAAAUGAUACCUAUCUAUAUCUAGACUCUGUGCACCACUUCCCUUCCUAAAACUACCAACCAGGGACCAUAAACACCUAGAGGAGGGAUCAUAACCUAGAUGACUUUAAACCUAACUUAAUUUUAUAAAACCAAUUUAUAAUGUGAGGUAUUCACUCAUUUAUAAAUUAUGAAAUAUUUUUAGGAUUUAUGAUUUAAGAUUUAUGAUUUAGGGUUUAGGGUUUAUGGUUUAAGAUUUAUGGUUUAGGGUGGUUCAGGAUUCAAUGUUCAUUGUUCAUUGUUUAGGAUUUAAGAUUUAAGGUUUAGAAUUUAGGGUUUAGGAUUUAUCUCUAAUCUAUAUGACUCUCUAACAAUAGGAUGAUUAAAUUAAAUUUUUAUUAUUUAAUAAUGAUUUGUAAAUAUUUACCCAAGAAUACUCGUUCUCGUUAAUAAUAUUAAUAAGUGUUCUGUAUUAUUUGAAAGGUUUGGACAUUGGUAUGUCCAUAGUAGAGCAUCAAAGAAAGAAUAUAAGUUUGGCAUCUCUUCUAAAAUGGUUGAUUUGUUUAUUUGGUAGAUGCAUCCUUCUAGAUAAGAAUAUUGAGAAGAAUAUCUAUUCAUGUUUAUUAUCACAUUAUGGCUUCAUCGUGCAAACAUUUGGCCAGUCAUAGGCACUGCUGUAUUGUCAUUGUGGUUAGUUUUUGGAGUUAAAUUAGAGAAUAUUAUUUUACUUUUGGGAUACUAAUAUAAAUUUCUUCAAAUUUUGACGGGUGUUUUCGGUGAAAAUAUGAUCAAUUAACUAUCUUAAUUAAAAAAUUACAUAUAAUUGUAAUUUUUUAUUUAUUUAAUUCAUCACAUUCUACAACUUUAGAUAUAUAAUAAUUUUUACGAAAUUUUAUCGAUUAAAAAGGAGCAUGACCAAUUUCAGUGUGUAAAUUAAAACUUAUAUUUAUGAUUAUAAGAAUUUUCAAAGAAAAUAAUAUUUAAUUCAAAACCAGAAUAAUUAGGUUAAACAAUAAAGAUUAAUUGAAACAAUUUGGUUGAAAAUAAUAAUUAUAAAAAAUGCGUUUAAAAUUGAAAUAACAUAACAAACAUACGUAAAACAGUUACAUAAAUUAUAAAUUGCAUGAAAUGGACUUGAAUGGAAAUAUAAAUCUAAAUUUAAAUACAAUGUCAUAAAAGUUAUCAAAGUGAAAAUAAAGUAAACAACUUUAAAGAACUCCUAACACUAGUAUAAAAUAAGAUAAAUAUUAUAUAAUGUUUUUUCCAUCCAAUUUUAAAUUUUAAAAUUUUAUAUUUUGAUAAAAAAAAUUCAGUGCACACACGUGUUUUAUUUCAUGGAGGGAUGGUGAAGUUGGUGACAACCAAGAGCUGGUAGGAGUGAGUUCUUUUUCUAUGGCUACUUUUAAGGGAUAUGAUAACUUGUAAUCUCUGACAGCUAAUAAUAAUAUAAGUUUUUUUGUCUUUUCUCUGUUCUAUAAACAUGAAGACCUUGCGUAGACCUAUUUUGGUAUUCUUGUGGGCUCAAUUUACCUUGGAAUGUUUCUUCCAAAUCUCUUUUUCGGUAAGAUGCUAUCUUUUUGGUUCUAUGAUAUUUGUAUAACAAUAGGGAAUUGGAUUUGAUUGCCUUAUAAUAAGUCUCAAGGCAAGCCAAUCCAAUUUGUUUGGCCAGCCCCACCAAUUACCUAACUAAUCACCAACUCUAAAUUAUAUUUCUUCUACUUCGAACUUCGAUAAUGUGAAUUUUGAUUCAGUUAAAUGUAUGGUAUUCAUUUAUUUUUAAGUUGAACUAUGCUUUCUUUUCUUAUUUUGAUUGAUGUUUCGACCCUUUUAAUUAGUCUGUCAUAUUGGGAAGUUGUUAUGUGGGUGGUGUCUAAGGUUUGAUAGAGGUUCUUGUGUAGUUUGAUUGAGUGUUUUUUUCAAGGUUUUUUUUUUUCUGCAUAAGGGUUGAAAUCACCCUUGAAGUGAUUCACAUUUAUUUAUUUUUAUUGCUAAUAAAAAAAAUCUUCAAAUAAUUUAAUAGUAUAAUGUACAAUUUUUACAUUCAUGCUUACUUUAAAAAAUCAAACACCUUUUAUAAAAAUAAAUAUAAAAAUAUUAGAAGUUAGGUUUAAGUUUGAAUCUUUCUCUAAGACCAAUUUAUAAGGGAGGAUUGUCUCCACUAAGAAUAUUAAAAAUUAAUAUUAUCUCUAGUCAAUAUCACGUCAAUGUAUGGAUAUCUCGUGACUAGAUAUUUAUGGAUGGUUUAACAAUAAUAUGAUGAUAAGUGAUACAAUAAGUCUAACAAAUCUUAUUAGAUUAAAUUUUUAACAUUAUAUUAGAAUUCUUCAUCUUAUAAGUCAAUUUUGUGAGAAUGAAUUAAACUUAAAUUCACUUUCUAAUUAUCAUAGUCUAUCAUAACGAAAUUUAUUGAAUAUUUUGUGUUACUUUUGUGUUACUUGUUUAAUGGAAUGGUUGUUCCAUAAAUAUAUAAUUUCAUACUCAACAUAUUGAAGAUCUCACGUUAAUUAGAGAUAAAAUCAAAUUUAUAUAUAACUAGAGAAAAUUCUCAUCUGAUUUUUAAAGAAAAGGGUUUUGCAACUCACUUCCGAAUACAAAAUAUUUUGAUCAUGAUUAAAUUAUUUCGUUAAUAUUUUCAGAUUUUAUAAUAAUAUAUUGGUCUUGUGUGCAAGCAAAAGAGAGAAGUCUUGUGUGCAAGCAAAGUCCAUUGAAUAACCUAGAAUGUGUUUGUUUGAAGUUAUUUUGUCAUAUUUCUGAAGAUGUAUUAAUAGAAAAUAUGCUUUCUAUGUUUGUUAGCAUUAAGAAUUUUGCUGAACAUAAUUCUAAGAAAAAAAUAACUUGUUUGUUUGGAAGCACGUGUUAUGUUUUGGAGGACCAUGUCAUAGUAUGUUACAAACAAACACAUUUUACAUACGAACCAGUUUUAUGCAGCGGCAUCCAAUGUACACAUCGGACAUAACUUAAUGUUUGGCUGAGAUUGAAAAAAAUAAUUUGUACAGUAAAUGCAGAUACCAUCAUAACUUCAUAUUAACCAUCCAUUACAAUCAGCAUAAUAUCUUGGAAGUUUAUUCAAAAUUCUUCAAUUUUCUAAACUAAAAAACAAGGCUCAUGAUUUUCAUUUAGAAAUAUUACUAUAUUACUAAAUUACUAAAAAUACUAAAAUAUAUUAUAUUAAUAUUACUUUAAUACAUUAUAUUAAUAUCAUUCUAAUAACAUUAAACUAUAUAUUUUUAUUUUUGUUAAUUUUAAUUUAUUGUAGAUGUUUAUCAUUCUUUGUAUAUAUAUAUAUAUAUUCAUACUAUGACAUAUACAUUUUUGGAUUCUUUUGAAACUAUAUUUCAGAAACUAGUUUUUAAAUCUUAACGAAAUAAAAAGUUUCAUAACAUAUAUAAAAAAAAAACCGAAUUCAUAACAUAGUUUGGUUACUUUAAAACGUGCAUGCUAUAUAUCAUAUAUAUUUAUAUUAAUACAUAUUUAUAACUUGAAUAUCAUUCUGUUUCUUUAAAACAUUUAUUAAUAUCAAUUAAAAAAUACAUAAUUCAGACUUUGUAUUGGUUCAUAAUAUGAAUAUAUUUGAAUUCCUAUUAUUUAAAGUAACACUAAUAAUGUUCGUUUAUAAAUAAAAUAAAAUUUGAUUAGAUUAGAUAAAAGAUAAAAGAUAAAAUUAUACUAAUUGGAUAGAGAUAAUUUUUUUUAAAGUAGCAUGCAUGUGAGAAACACAUGCAGUGAAAUAGCAUAAGAUUAUGAUGAGUUCAGCAGAGAAGAGAAAAAGGGUUUUUGACAGAAAUCAGAGAGAGAUGGAAGCAUCGGUGAAUGUGGUGGAGAGAAUCUUAGGGUACAAAUUCAGAAAUUGGAAGCUUCUAGAAGAAGCACUCACUCAUUCAUCUUUCACGGAAGGUGUUUCUUACGAGCGCCUUGAGUUCAUCGGAGACCCCAUUAUCAGUCUCGCCAUCAGCAACUACCUCUUUCUCGCCUACCCGCAGCUCGAUCCUGGCCACCUAUCUACCCUCCGCGCCGCCAACAUCAGCACCGAGAAGCUCGCCCGGGUCGCCGUCCGCCACGGCCUCCACCGCUUCGUCCGCCACAAUGCGCCGGCCCUCAGAGACCAGGUCGAGAGGUUUGUGGACGCCGUCGCCCUAGAGAAUCACUCCGUCGUGGCGCACGGCGGAUCCGUCAAGGCGCCCAAGGUCCUCGCGGAUAUAGUCGAGUCCGUUGCCGGAGCUAUGUACGUUGACGUGGGAUACGACCUGGAGGAACUAUGGAAGGUGCGUAUUGAUUUUUUUUUUUCUUAGAGGAUGAUGAAUGAUGACAAUUUCUUUUGAGUUUUGAAAUUAAAAUUUAGGUGAUCAUCUGGUAAGGUUUUACAUUGUUUUUCGCUGUUCUUUGAAUCAAUUGAGAUGAUAAAGUGCGAAGAAUCAUGAUCUUUAUGAAUAGUUUUUGGACGAGGUUUUCAUGUUGGUGAAGACAGUGAUGGCUUCAAAAUCUUCAAAGUUGCAUUUGAAAUCAGUUUUUUAGAUGCUUUUGUAAAAUUCAAGAUGUUGAAAAAUUGAUUUCUUGGAUUUUGAUUAUGAUUUUGACAGAAUUUCAGAGGAAUUUUGGAACCAAUAGUGACACCUGAGGAUUUGGAGCAACAGCCCCAACCGGUGACGGCAUUAUUUGAAAUAUGCCAGAAAAGGGGGAAACAUGUUGAGAUUAAACAGGUGAGAAACGAAACAGAGAGCAUGGCGAAUGUGUUUGUUGAUGGAGAGAUUAUUGCCUCUGCUACCUCUGUCCAGAAGGAUCUGGCAAAACUUGAAGCAGCAAAGAUUGCUUUGAAUAGAUUAGCAUAUCUGGUUCCUCGGACCAGUACGAGACCUUGCUGCAGUAACAUGAACUUUUAUCCUGACGAGGAUGGGAACAUGAUUAUUGAAGGAGCCAAACAUAGACUACAUGAACUCUGCGAGAAUAAAAAAUGGCCUAAGCCAGUGUAUAGGUACUGUUUUUUAAGAUGAUUCAUCAAAUGAGUAACAUUGAUUUUCAUGUGUGAAACUUUUGACAUGUUGACUAACUCUGCAAUGCCUCACAGGAUUGUGAAGGAUUCGGGUCCCUCUCAUGAGAAGAGAUUUGUUUGUGCUGUUGAGAUAACUAUUGAAGAAGAGGAACGGAUCCUUCAAAUGUCUGGCUAUGAAAAAUCUAGGGUGAAGGAUGCUCAGAACACUGCUGCUUCAUUGAUGCUUAUGGCCUUACUUGGACAGUAAUUAAUCACACACAGAAUCAAAGUGUUGUUGUAAUUUUUGUGGGGGUGUCUCUUCCAUCUCCUAUUGGAAUCUCUUAGUGUCUUCUACUGUAAUCUUUAGACAUUAGCUAACUUAAGCUUCAUUUAAAAAUAGGGGCCUCUUUGAGGAUAUUUUAGCAGUUUGUUUGGAAAUUGUUUUUGAUAAUCUUGGUUGUAAUUUAUGAGUCUGAAUAUUAGUUCUUACAAAUACCAUUAUAAUCUUGGCAGAUACCAAUUUCAGUCUCUCUUUCUUUACUCCUUACUAUUUAAAGUCAUAGAAACAAAGAGAUAUAAUCUUCAUGUUUAGGAACUGAAUGGUAAAUUUAUUAAAUUAGCGACUAAAUAAAUAAUUUUACAAAAUUGAUAAAAGAACUUAAAAUCAUUUAAAAGAGUGCUAUGAACUGAAUAAUGAAAAAAUGUAACUGAAAUUGACAAAUAAUUUGCUGAGACCUAAACUAUUUUUAUGGUUUAAACACAACUAAUUUGUGAACCAAAACUUGUAAUGUUUUGAGUAUAAAUAUUCUUUUAAGGGGAUUUGUUAAAAUUUUAUAAAUAUUUAAUAAAAGAUAUAAUACUGAAUUUAUUAAGAUUUUAAAAAUUUAUACUUUAUCUAAUACUCCAUAUGAAUUCAAACUCUUAAAUUAAUAUUAUAAUAUAAAUAAAAAGUAGUUUUAAGGAGAGAAAUAGUAAGUAUUAUUUUAUUGAAAAUAUAAGAAAAAUGAAUUAUUAAUUAAAAAUAAAAAGGAUGUGAUGUGAGUAAAUAAUUUCUCCAAGUAUUAUAAAUAUUACCUUAAGAUGUCAUUGCUCUCAUUCCCAUGAGAUUGUGAGAUUAGAUGUUCAUUUGUUUACAUCAAGCGCGGAAAACUUAGAUCCUUCCUACCAAAUUUUCAUUUUCAAUAGAUAUCCGAGAAUAAAUACCAUUCAAUGUUCACUCACAGCAAGUUAGAAAAUUUCAUGACAGUAAGCAAAAAAUUAAAAUAUUUUUUUCUCACGACACCAUCAUGUGAUCAAAUCCUCCUCCACCUUGAAGUGCAGGAACUCGAUUGACUCCGAUAUUGUGAAGCAACUGCUGUAGCCACCUCCUUGCUGUUGGGUCUUCCUGCAUGCAUAAAAUCAAACCAAUAUAAAAAUACUAACAGCAUAAAAGUAUGAAUCAUCAUCAUCCCUUCAUAAUACCUGCUUUAUGAAGAAGAAAGCAAACAUUACUUUAUAAUACCUGCUUCUAAUCUUCUAUUUACUUAAUAGAGUCACUCAAAUCAUAUUGAUUAAAUAAAACUUUUCAACUUACACGAAGGCAACUACUGAAUGUAGCGUCUCUUAACAUGUCUGGGAGACAGGUUCUCAAGGCCUCGCAAGCACUGUUUUGAAGUGACCAAAGUUUUAUUAGAAACUUGGGAAGAGAACACAAGGUCAAGGCAGGAACACUUAGAACACUAGAAUGAUUAUAACAAACCUCUGGUUAUCUGACAGACGAAGAUAACAACGAAUAAUAUGCUUCAAAAGACGGCAUGAUGGUUGCUCUACAAGAGUUGCCACCAUGUUUCCCAAAACUCGACCCACUGCAUAAAAACGCUCUGCUGUAGUGCAAAUAUAUUUCAAACCAAUUUCGUCCAACAGAAUUUUUUGAACUAUAAAGGUUGCAACCUGCAAUAAAUGGAACUUUCAUAUUAUACACAAAUUUUCCUGUAUACAAUUGUUUGAUAGACAUAGGAGAGGAUCACGAGAUAGGGGCAAAAACAAACAUGUGACUCAGCAUUUACUUACUGAACACCACCAAACAAAAUACAAGAGUGAAACUCUCAAGUAAAAACAAGAUCAGUAAACUUAACCGUUUUUGACAAUUCACUGCCCAUUUCCAUACUGCGCAAGCACAGCGGAAUAAUCUCUGUUGAAAGAAGAAAACUUAUAACUUCUGUAUCGUCAACCUGGUGAAAUAAAAACGAAAAGGAAAUCAAACACAUGACAAGAAAAAGUAUAAAUGUACCUAUGGCGAGCAACAAAGACAAUAUUUUCAUCUCACUAGAGAAAUAAAUCACUUGAAGGAAAAAUUUUAUUCUCUGAAAAUAGUGAUGAACUCGUCCUAACAAGCUGGGUUGUAUGUUAACAGGAAAGUUAACAGAAAUAACUGAAAAUAUACAUGAACAUUAGAAGACAAACACAACUAAUUAUUUGUGGCAACAACACUAAUUAAACGUCUAAUUACUGUUUUUCAGAAAGGCAUUAGUUGAGGUUAUUGCAAUAUAUAUUUUUUUAUGGCUUUGUGACAAUACUUUUACUAAUUGAAAUUCUUCACCAACAACAGCAAUCAACAAGGAGGUAAUACGACAUUACCUUCACCAAGGCACCAAUGACUCCUAGACUGGUAAGUCUCAAAUACUCAAAUGGCCUCGACUUACUUGUUGUAUUAAGGAAGGGAUACAGAUAUAGAGGUAUAUGAGCUGCAGAUGAAACAAGGUAAGUGAAAAGACUGAUAUAUUUUUUCUUUUAAGUGUUAAUUAUAAUGGACAAAAACACUACUGAAUUAGAUAAUGUCAAAGGAAUCUCUUUACAUAUAAAUUAGAAAAAAAAAAACAGAAGAAAAACUACAACAUGCCUUCCACUUCAGCCCAAAAGUAUGACAGUAUACUGGAAGUAAAACAAGGACGACUAACUACUAAGAGCCAGUGGUAUGACCUAUAAACUGCGUGACAGAGAAGCUUCAUUUCCUAGCAAGAAUAAGUAGAAGUCCUAUGACAAGAUAGACAAUGUUAAGAAAGAGUUUGCAUUUAAAAUUUAAGCACAUGAUUCUGGUUUAUACCGAACUUUUUUAGAUUAUAUAUGGUCUAACCAUCAUCCAAUAAAUUUUAUAGUUUAACAUUAUUUUAAUUUUAAUUGUUUAGCAAUUUACCAUAUCCUAUGGCAGUUUUAAAAUACAGGGAGGAUAAGAUAUCAUGAAUUGAACAUAUACUAUACGAAAGCAAAUGUUUAGAAUAACAUCAAUAAAAAAAAUGAAAGCCUUUAUUAUUCUUGGAAAUAUACUUGGAGGACCCUCCUUGAAAGAAACACUUGAAUAAUCCACAAAAUGAUGUACGACUUACACAAUUCAUAAUAGCCAAUAUACUAUUAUAGAGCUGAUGCCUUGGUGAUUAAGACUUUACCACUUUUGAGACACCAAUGACAAACUCUAGUAAUAUUGAUUGAGUGUUCAAAACAUGAAACACAAGCACAUCAUAAUACCCAAUUUUCUAGUAAACAUCCUCCUUAAUUUCUCUCUAAAAAUUUGUAUUAUGAAUAUUUAAUUUUAAAAACUUGUGGUAUGACAUAUUUUUCCAUUUUUACUCCCAUUCCAAUGUCUUUCAAGGUUUAGACUUGAAAUUCCAAAGGUAAUAAUGAUUGGUUUAUGCAUGAUGUUGGUUAAUAUUGACUCCUAUUGGUUUCUUAUGCUUUCUAAAAUUUCUGUACUCCAUGAAGGAUGAAAACUUGUUGGCAGAAGGCUCUUAACACUACAAAGAUAUGAUUUAAAAAGUCUCUCCCAUCUUCGCCAGGGUGAUAGAUGAGCUGAUGGUUUUGGUAACACUUUAUUUUUAAUAAAUUGGAUUUUCUUUGGUUUGUUGCUUUACCUGUUUAUUUUUGUUUUUUUUUUUAAAUCGUUUAGACCUCCCAGAGUUUAGGCUUUGUUUGGUUUACUCUUUGCAUGAAUUUGGUUUGGUCCCCUUAUGCUUCUUGUAUCUUUUUCUUUUUUGUUCUCAUAGAUUUUUCAUGUGAACUUGGUUUGGUUCCCUCAUGCUCCUUGUAUUUUUUCUUUCUUGUUCUCAUAGAUUUUUCAUGUGGUGACAUGUGAUUGAUGAAACUUUAAGAUGAAAACCUAAUUAGGAUAUCACCGUUUCAUUGAUAUCUAAGUUGAUUUUAAAUCAUAAGUAAGGAGUUUAGGUUGAGCCUUAAUUAAUACUAUCCCUAUAAGAAAGAUUUUAGUCUCAUUUAUAGGAAUCCUCACUCUAGCCGUCACUCCAUCAUACAUGUCUCUGUAGCCUAGACGUGAUAACUUCAAAUUUCUCAUCUAUUUGGGUGACAUAUUUAAUAUCAAGUGCAGCAAUGACUGAGCUCAUGAACUUGGAUUCUAGACUCGAGUACUUUUUCCCAUUCCAAGUAUUACUCAGCAAGCAUAAACUAAACCUCAACACGAGCAUCCCUUAGUACUUGGCCAAAAAAUUCUUAUAUUGGGUUCAAACCAGCUCAUAUUGAAAAACUCCUUAAGAUAACUUUCAUAAAAUAAAAUCAAAACAUAUCACUUGUUCCAUCACUAAUAAAUAAUGCUAAGUUAUAAUUAGAAUACCAUUACCAUUUAGGAAUUGCAUCCUUGUAUCAAGGUGAGACGCCACACACUAAAAAAAUCCAUGGGUAAAAGAGACGUGUUAGUAAGAAUGCAUUGAACAAAAGGAGAAAAAGACCGGACAUAGUAUACUUUAUGUGACUGGAGUUUUUCAGGGUUUAAAAAAUAUUUGAAACUUAUUAAAAGUGUGUCGAACUGUUGAAAAUGAGAUAUACAAUUUGAUAGAACGUGAUUAUCUCAAUUCUCACCUGAAGAAGAGCAAGAGCAUUGCAGACUCGAUUUGAUUGUGCUGGAGUGAGGUUUGGUGGUGAAAUAACAGGGUAUAUUGAAACUAUUUCCUGGAAGAAAAUAAGAGAAUUAAAAAAUAACAUAAAUCUAGUAAGAGGUGAGCAAGCAUUAUUUCAUUUAGAAAAAAACUAAAAAAAAUAAGAACAUUUUGAUGCUCUUCAUGUUUUAAAAAAUGUUUUCAAAACAAUUUUACACUAAUCACCAAUCAAUUUAUCAACCAAAAUUCAACUUUAAUCAAAAUUGAGAAUUAAGAUUUACACAAUUCACAUUCUAAAAACGUAGUGGUUUUACUUUACAAUUUUCAUGUAAUAAUGACUCUUAACACAGAAUAUUAACAGAGGAUAUUUUACAAAGCACUCUGAACAAAAAAUAAAAAUCCCAAGAUGAACAGUAUGAAACAAAUUUAAAAAGCAGCUAACUAUUCGAAAAUACUUAUGAAUCACGAUUCAAUGCUGUCAAAUAGCAGUUACACCAUAACAAAGAGUUUUUGGCCCCCUCCUCUAAGGCCGUGCAAUAAGCCACAGUGACAUGUUCAUGUGGUGGAAUUUUGGCCUUCCGCCAUUUAUAACCUUGCUCUUGAAAGUCCAAAUUCUAAAGAAAUAAGGUCUAACUAACAACAUUGAUAUAAUAAUACAUAAAAUACGCGAAAGAAUACAGCAGAAAAGAAAGCCAAGUGAUAAGGAAUACGUAACGGUAAUGCAAGUCACUCAGAGCAUACCUGCAAAAGUGCCGCCAUAGUACCAAAAGAAUUCCACAACAACGGAGCGAGAUCCUGAAAUAACUCUCUCUUCUAAUAUACACACAGAACAAAAAACGAAAAAAAAAAAGAAAAAAAAAAAUAGUUAAACCGCACGAGUUUUGAAACGACGAAACAUGAAUGAAUACAUGCACGAGAUAGAGACAUAGAUAGAUAGAUAACAGAAAUAUAAUUCUUCCAUUAUCAAUGCUUAGCAUGUGAACAUAGCGAAACAUCAUAUUUAGAAGAAAAGAAAAACAAAAUCCCUAACGAACGCGGCGUUUGGAGUGGUUGAAAUAGUUGGAGUGAAAAAACAGGGGAAACAGAUGAAAUUGGAAUUGGAAAAUCGAUUGAGCAUACCUUGGAGAGUUCAUGAAGUGCGUUUUCUCGAAGAUCAGGGUUGCUGAGUUCGAGGACGAGAUGUUCGACAGACGCCAUUCUACGAUCCUUUGUUGCAGAGACAGAAGGAGCUCCAAAGGACCCACCACUCAUUGAGAUUGAUUGCGGCAAAUUCGCCAUUGACUAACUCAGAGUGAGUGUGCAAUGUUGUGUGUGUGGGAAUGUUGCGAGUGAGACGUUUUCUUCCUCUGAUGCCAACUUCCUUGUUAUUUAUGUGCGUAUGCGAAGCAAUGGUGCGUAAUGGAAGGAGGCAGAGACACAUGUUUUGCAUGCUACAAAAUGCUAACGCCUGUUUCUCUUGCACCCUUCCACUAUCAGUUACAUUAUUCUAAUAAUUCCAAUCGACACUUUUUUUUUUUCAUUUUUAUAAUUAAAAUAUACUUUAUGCCAACAAAAUUGGACUUUACUUUUAAUUUGUGCAAAAAAUCUAUCAUUAAUAACCAUAUAUGUCUCUAAUUUAAAAAAAUAAAAAUAAUAAUCGUUCAUUGUCUAUUCAGAAUAUGAACAGUUUGACUAUAUUAACCUUUAAACUUUUUUUUACACACUAAAAAUUAUAAUGGAAUAAUUUUUUAAAAUUGUAACCUAUGUAAUAGAGUCAUUUAUAGACAAAAAAAAAAUACAUAGAAUCUCAAUUUUUAAAAUGUAGGACACAAAUCUAUAUAUUAUAUAAUUAUAAAUUAUAUACUUAUAGACACGAAAAUACAUAGAAUCUCAAUUUUUAAAAUGUAAGACACAAAUCUAUAUAUUAUAUAAUUAUAAAUUAUAUAAAUUGAAAAUAAAAAUUUAUGUGUAUAACUAUAUUUCAAUUUUUUUUUAAAAAAAAUAUUUUUCAUAAUUAGUUCAAAAUGAUUUAUUCCUUAUUUUUUAAUCAUAAUAAAAAUUUAUACAAUAAAUUUGAAUUUUAAAAAAUUAAUGUAUUUUUUUUAAAUUGUAUUAGAACUGUGUGAUAGAAUUGUAAAAAAUCCAAUAAAUAAUUUUUUAAAAUUGAACACUUCAUCAAUAUGUAUUUUAUGAGAGUCAAAGAAAUGUGUCCAAACUUCAUAGUAACCUGUGGAAUCCGGUAUUAUUACUAAAAAAAAUGAUUUCUCAAGAAUAAUGGUGAGGAAAUAUUACUUAUAGAAGCUUAUCCUAUGUAUGGGUGAUUUAAAAAAAAAAAAAAACUACUAAGUAUAAUAUUUACACUCUACAUCAUUUUUUGAAUGACUAAGAAUAUAUAUAGUAUGCAACAUAUUUAUUUCCAAAAAUAUCAUCUGUUUUUUAUAACAAUAAUUAUGCAACUAUGGAUGUAAAUGGGAGGAUUUUAAUUACAUAAUGUUUUUGCACUAAUAAUAAUUUGAUAUUACUAAGAAAUAGUGGUAAGAGAAUAUUAAUUAGAGACUGUUUUAAUUAAAAAUUAUUUGAUUAUUAAUCCAGACUUUUAAAAAACGACUUAACGGUUAAUAUUUCAAUACGUUUAAUUUAUUAUUUAUGCUGUUAAUAUUUUAUUAUUAUCACUCCUUCAUCCUGCCCUGUAGCGUGGUUUUUUUCCACGUUAAAGGAAAGAAAAUCAUUUUUUAUUAUUUAUGCUCAUUUUUUUUUUCCAAUUACUUUUAGACUCUUUUAUUUAUUAUCAGUUAACGGUUAGAUAUAUCUUCUCAUAUAUAUUAUUAGUAUUUAUUGGAAUAAAUUAUAAAUUUAUACUCAUAAUAAUAUAAGUGUACAAAUAAUAAAAUAUAUAUAAAUAAUAAUAAAAAAAUGUAUACAGUCGCGAGAACGAAUGUGUGUUUUGCUAGUUAUAAAAAAAUAAAUAAAAGAAACUAAUUAGUUAAGAAAAGAAUAUAAAAAUCUCAGGUAUUAUCCAGAAAUGAAUAAUGUACUUCAUUGUUUAAAUUUAAAUAAAACUCAAUGAAAUAUCUAAAAAAAACACAAAAAAAGUAAUAGACAUUAUUAAUGGAGGCAACAUUAUUUGGCAAUUAUAUUGAGUUUUGGUGGCUGCUCCUCCUGAAUUUGUUCUGUCUGGUUCUGGUUCUUGUUUUGAUUCUGUUUCUGCUUGAGCAUGAAGAAGCGAAUCCAGGUGUAAACCUCCAAGCCAAAAGCGAUGGCACCCAGAAAAGCAAGAUUUCCAAUGUACCCCCACUUCCAUUCAACACCUCCUUCCAAAAUGCGAAUUCCUUUGAAUAUGUUUAUGAUUAUGAUAGCAAACAGACCAUAACCAAGAAAAUGAUGGUACAUGUUCCAAUACUUUCUGUAAUCGUCCGUCAUCUUUGGCUUUAACCGAAAAGCCAACAUCUGAAAAUCAAUAACCAAACUUCUCUCAACAUCACUGUGUUCCAUUUCUACGAAUCAAUCAAUGCAUGCAAUGAGAAUCAACACGUAAAUACGUACUCAAAUAAUGUCUUAAUCAGAUUCAGAUUUGUGGAUAAUAGUUAUAGGUGGAAUGUAAAGACAUAAGAAGAUAUUUAAAAGCGGCAGAUAGAACAUAUAAGAUUUUAUACAAUAGUGCAACUGAAAGCGUGAUCAUGGGUAGUGAAUAAAGUUCGAUGGAUAACUUUUUCACUGAUUGGUGUUUUGAGCCACUAGUUUGUAUAAAAUCUAUAAAAAGUUACUAGAUUUUUUAAUUAUGGAUAGAAGGAUUUGAAUGAGUUUUGUAAUGAUUUAUAUAUACAUAUGAAUAUGUCACAGGCUAAUAUGUCACAGGCAAUGUUAGAAUAAGAAGGUUAUAAAGAAUUUUGUAUAAGAAUUGAGGUAUUUCUGAAAUAUCUAUUAUUUAUUUAUUUAUUAAUAAAAAAUAGUCAAAUAAUUUGUUAGAAUACAAUUAUACUAAAUGCGUUUAAAACACUUUUAAAACAUGUUAUUAUUAAAAAAAAAAUCAUUUUGUUGUUUGUGGAAUGUUUGAUGUCGUCUUGGGUAGAAGAAGUAAUGUCAUUCAUGACAAAGAAAGUGAAAAAGCGAAAGGUUGUUGUGAUUAAAAUGAAAACAAGAACUUAAACUUUACAAUAGAGGGAACCCUUGUAUAAAAAAUUAACACAAGUAAGUCUAAAAAGAUAGCAAACUAAAAAAGUUAAGCAUGUAUGUAGCAGUUUGUUGUUGGUGCAAUCAUAUGACAUUAAUUAAAUAUUUAAAAGCUAAACCUAAUUACUAAGGAAUGAAUCCACAAGUGGACUAAGGAUGAGGCAAAGGCAAUGAACGAGAUUAAAUUAUAAAGAGAAAUAAUACCUGAAUUGUGCUAAAGACGAAAAUGAGAAUGGCAUAAGUACGAUGAUCGUGGAAGGUGUAGUAUCUAGAAGAAUGUCCGAGACUUAGCCCAAUAGCCCAUCCGGUGGUGCCAACAAGAAAACCAGUUAAUUGGCAACCAAUGUGAAGGUUAAACCACAGUGGCUCGCAUUUGAAAGGAAACACCCGAAAGUACCUUGCAAUUAUAAUCCCAAUCGGCAACAGGGUUCCCCACCCUAUAAUGUUUAUCACUCCAUGUAUCUAUAUUUCAAACAACAUACCCAACCAUCACAAAUAAUAAAUAUAUAUAAUACCAAUCUCUUCAUUUGUGUAACAAUAUUAUUAAAAUAUUAUUAAGCAAGCAUUCAAUUAUAAGUUUAACUCAACUCGAUAAAAUUAGAAUAGUUACUUAUUGGUAAAUUAGAAUAGUUACUUAUCGGUUCUUAAAUGAUGUGUAUGUAUUGAACAUCAAUACUUGUAAGACACGUAUGACUGAAAUCCAAUUCAACAAUUUUUUUGUUGAACUUCUGAGAAUUAUAACACGGUUCUAACACAAUUUUAAAAACGAAAAAUACAUUAAUUUUUUAAAAACCCAAAUUUAUUAUAUAAAAUUUUAUUAUAAUUAUAAAAAUAAAGAACAAAUUCUUUUGAACUAGACAUGAGAAACAUCUUUCUCCUACAAAAAUUUGAAAAUACUUGUGCACAUAAAUAUUUAUUGUCAAUUUAUAUGAUUCAUAAUUAUAUAAUAUAUAGAUCCGUGUCCCAUGUUCUACAUUUUAGAAAUUAUAGGUUUAUGUAGUAUAGACACUAAUACGGACACUACAUAGAUACAUAUAAUAUCUAAAAUGUAGGACACGAAAACACAUAUCUAUAUAUUAUAUGAAUUAUAUAUAUUAACAAUAAAAAUUUACGUGCACAAGUCUCUUUCAAUUUUUUUGUAAUAUAAAGAUGUUUCUCAUGUCUGGGUCAAAAGGAUUUCUUCCUUAAUUUUGUAAUCAUAAUGCAAAUUUAUACAAUAAAUUAAAGUUUUUAGAAAAUUAAUGUAUUUAAAGUUGUAUUAAAAUCAUGCUUGAAUUAUUAGAAAUUUAACAAAUAUUUAUUGAAUUAGACAUUUUACCAAUAUAUGUCCUACACGAGUGUAGAUAAUAAUACGUGUAUCCAAGACAGACACAUCAUUUAAAAAGAAUGUUGGAUCCUCAUAAUUAUACGCAUCUCAGUGUGUCUAGUGUUUCUAUCUAGCUUAUCUGUUAUGAAAUAUGUGUGACAAGAACAAUUAGGUAAAGCGAAGAAAAUACAUAAUUCUCACCGAUCUAAGAUAACUCCGGUACUGUCCAGUGCUACGGCCGUUGCUAUCAGUCAAGUCUAUGACCUCUGUGCUGUCGACGUUCCGGAGAGUUGUUGGAUGUCGAUGGGGAUGCCCACCUUCGAUACCAUACCCAACUUGCCACACAUGGUUCAGCCUCGUUACGUUAUACUCUUCAGAGGGAAGCCUCAAUCUAACAUACAUCGUGUGCAUGUUAUCAGCCUCUUCCUCAACCGACUUACUCACCACAAUUCCAAUUUUCGACGGCAGAAGAUUGCACCCGUUUCUGAUCUCCUUCGUAAUGUUGUACGUGUCCACACUCCACGUUCCAUCGGACCGUUUGACGGCCACGAUGGCUCUGGUCCCAACCAUCUCUGGUCUCUUUCCGGGGUUCACUCCCCACCCUAUCCACCCUUGUUGGGUUUGGAGUGUGGCGCCGAACAAGAUGUCCACCACGGUGGAGUUGUUGCCGGAGAAGUUGCCGUGGAGGUUCCAUGCGAACUCCGCCCCCAGAGUGCGCAAUCUCUUGCAGUCUGAGAUGUUCUUUUUCUGGGCCAGUUUGAAGAAUGCUUCAGUGCAGGCUUGGGAAUUUGCAGCGAGGGUGAAGGAGAGAAGGGUCAGUGUGAAGAUGGUUAAUGGCAGUGACAUGUUUUGUUGUUGGUUUUUCAUGUUUUUAUGUUGUGAUGUUGGUGUUUUUGUUGCGAUGUAUAGAGAUAUAUAGAGAUAGCUUAAAAGUUGUUCUCUUUCUUCAUGAUGGUGUUUGUUACCAGUGGAUUUGGUUAUGACGUGACUUCUUCAAGUUGGGUACGGUCACUUUUGGUCUUCAAGUUCUCUUUUAUCCUCUUUGGUACCAGGGACAUGCUUCCUAAAGAGGAUAAGAAUUUUGAAAAGAAUUAUUACAGGUUGAAAACACAAGACUAAAAACACACUACUGAAUUGCUUUCUGGUAUACUGUAAGUGCUAAAACUACCAUAAUAAGAAAUAAUCUUUUAGUGUAAUGUGAGCUUGUGUAAAGAGAUAGAGAAAUAUUACUUUAACCCUGUUUACAAAGUUGAUGUGAAAAUUGCACAAUAGCAAGUGACUUUAUUAACCCAAUAUUAUAGUAUUAAGAAGGAGAAUUUAAGCAUAACAUAACCUUUUAUAAAAUUGUUUCCAUUUAAUAAAAUUUUUUUAUUUUGAAUUUGUCAAUCCAUAGGACGGAUUAAGUCUAGAGUUGACCGAAAUUAUCACAUUCAAGCGGAGUACUUACGAGCUAAUAAAAGGUUAAGCAAUAAAUACUGCAUUCUUAAUUACAGGUUAAGUCCUUAAUCAGGCCUAAUAAUGAAAGGUCUACAAUAAUUAUAUAAAUAAACACAGAUAUCAAAUAAUCAUGUAUAUAUGCAAUCAUCUGGUACUAAAUACUGAAUGUCGUGAGUGUCGAAUGC